UGGGGAAUAUUGCACAAUGGGCGCAAGCCUGAUGCAGCCAUGCCGCGUGUAUGAAGGAGGCCUUCGGGUUGUAAAGUACUUUCAGCGGGGAGGAAGGGAGUAAAGUUAAUACCUUUGCUCAUUGACGUUACCCGCAGAAGAAGCACCGGCUAACUCCGUGCCAGCAGCCGCGGUAAUACGGAGGGUGCAAGCGUUAAUCGGAAUUACUGGGCGUAAAGCGCACGCAGGCGGUUUGUUAAGUCAGAUGUGAAAUCCCCGGGCUCAACCUGGGAACUGCAUCUGAUACUGGCAAGCUUGAGUCUCGUAGAGGGGGGUAGAAUUCCAGGUGUAGCGGUGAAAUGCGUAGAGAUCUGGAGGAAUACCGGUGGCGAAGGCGGCCCCCUGGACGAAGACUGACGCUCAGGUGCGAAAGCGUGGGGAGCAAACAGG
RNAcentral lists this ribosomal RNA (429 nucleotides) under Chloroflexota bacterium. RNAcentral describes it as "Chloroflexi bacterium partial 16S ribosomal RNA". It matches the Rfam family "Bacterial small subunit ribosomal RNA", at positions 355 to 776 of the family's 1533-position model. Lineage: Bacteria; Bacillati; Chloroflexota. The record is from RNAcentral.